AUGACAUUGGAUGUUCUGGAUGUGUUUGCCGCACAUAAACGUCUUGAUGCUUGCCACAAAAAUGAGGAAGAGAAUGAGCUCGUCUGCAUCGACGAACCAAGAGAUGUGUUAAUCAAGAUGCUGACAGAGGGAGAUGACAUUUCAAUGAAGCAAAACAAAAUAGUCUCCAUUGUCGGUCAUGGGGGAUUGGGCAAGACAACUCUUGCCCAAGUUGUGUACCAUCAGCUUAAACCGCAGUUUGAUUGUGGGGCUUUUGUUAGGGUCCCCCUUGAACCAGCUGACAUGGUGAAGUUUUUCACGGAGAUGUUCCAUCAACUUAUUGGCGUGGAAAAUCAUACGAACAUCAAUGAAGAAGCAAAUGAUAUAAGACAGCUCGUUUCUCAAAUUAGAGAAUUUCUUCUGAACAAGAGGUACCUGGUCGCGAUUGAUGAUUUAUGGAACGAAGAUGACUGGCAGAUCAUCUCAUCUAGCUUGACAAAUAAUGACUAUGGUAGCAGAGUAAUUACUACUACUCGUGUUAAUGACAUAGCUAAGUUAUGUUGCUCAGGCUGUGACGAGUCGAUAUAUGAAGUUCAUUAUCUUGGAUACGAAUAUUCCAGAGUGUUGUUCUUCAAGCAUUAUUUUCGCCAUGUGGCCAGUUGGCCUAAUGCACCUGGAGACAUUUUUUUGUUUGGGAUCUUGAAGAUGUGCAGUGGUACACCUUCAGCAAUAAUAAGUAUUGCUUCGUUACUCACAACCAAGGUAACCCCAACAAAGCCAUGGCAAGAGAUGAUGUAUUCUGUAUAUUUUUCUUGGAAGCAGACGCCACAUUCUUUAGGUUCUGAAUCCGAGAACAUUACUGGUUUCGAACUCUUCAGAGAGAUUAUAUCACUUAUCUAUGCUCACCUUCCCUGUGCUCUGAAGGACUGUUUGCUGUACAUGGCUGUUCAUGCUAGGAACCAAAUAAUCCAUAGGACUACUAUGGUUAGGAAAUGGAUUGCUGAAGGAUUCAUCUCUGAAAAUGUGAGGCAUAGUCGAGAGGAAGUAGCAAGCGGGUACUUUGAUGAGCUCAUCAACAGAAAUUUCAUCCGGCUGUCAGAAUAUGAUAACUAUUCAAGGGAAGAGAUGUAUGAAGUUAACCAAAUGGUACUUUAUGCUCUUAGGCAGAUAUCAGAAAAGAAAAAAUUUGCAACUGUCUUGUCUGACGUUGGUAUUUCAAGGGAAUAUGCUCAUUAUUUCCGUUUGUCAGUCCAAUGUUCUUCUGGUUCGGAACUUUCAGUUGACACGGAAGCGAUGAAACCUGAUGGCAAUAUUCGUUCCGUGACUAUUGCUGGGCCUGCAGAGUUUUAUUUAAACAAUGAUUUGGUGUAUCUACGGGUGUUAGACCUAGAUGGCUGCAAGGAUUUGGAAAACUCGGCUAUGGACCAUAUAUGCCAAAUGACCCUGUUGAAGUACUUGAGUCUCCAGCACACUCCAGUCAAGAAGAUCCCACCAGAAAUCAGGAGAUUGUGCUAG
Molecule: ribosomal RNA, 1494 nt
Filed under: Triticum aestivum (bread wheat)
Lineage: Eukaryota; Viridiplantae; Streptophyta; Magnoliopsida; Poales; Poaceae
Description: partial small subunit ribosomal RNA
Source: RNAcentral